This 497-nucleotide ribosomal RNA is filed under the name uncultured bacterium. Its description in RNAcentral is "partial 16S ribosomal RNA". It matches the Rfam family "Bacterial small subunit ribosomal RNA", at positions 28 to 507 of the family's 1533-position model. The record is from RNAcentral.
GAUGAACGCUGGCGGCGUGCCUAAUACAUGCAAGUCGAGCGAACGGACGAGAAGCUUGCUUCUCUGAUGUUAGCGGCGGACGGGUGAGUAACACGUGGAUAACCUACCUAUAAGACUGGGAUAACUUCGGGAAACCGGAGCUAAUACCGGAUGAUAUUUUGAACCGCAUGGUUCAAAAGUGAAAGACGGUCUUGCUGUCACUUAUAGAUGGAUCCGCGCUGCAUUAGCUAGUUGGUAAGGUAACGGCUUACCAAGGCAACGAUGCAUAGCCGACCUGAGAGGGUGAUCGGCCACAAUGGAACUGAGACAAGGUCCAGACUCCUACGGGAGGCAGCAGUAGGGAAUCUUCCGCAAAGGGCGAAAGCCUGACGGAGCAACGCCGCGUGAGUGAUGAAGGUCUUCGGAUCGUAAAACUCUGUUAUUAGGGAAGAACAUAUGUGUAAGUAACUGUGCACAUCUUGACGGUACCUAAUCAGAAAGCCACGGCUAACUACGUG